This 497-nucleotide ribosomal RNA is filed under the name uncultured bacterium. RNAcentral's name for it is "partial 16S ribosomal RNA". It matches the Rfam family "Bacterial small subunit ribosomal RNA", at positions 28 to 507 of the family's 1533-position model. The record is from RNAcentral.
GAUGAACGCUGGCGGCGUGCCUAAUACAUGCAAGUCGAGCGAACAGACGAGGAUCUUGCUCCUCUGACGUUAGCGGCGGACGGGUGAGUAACACGUGGAUAACCUACGUAUAAGACUUGGGUAACUUCGGCAAACCGUAGCUAAGACCGUAUAAUAUAUUGAACCGGAUGGUUCAAGAGUGAAAUACGGGUUUUCUGUCACUUAUAGAUGGAUCCGCGCCGCCUUAGCUAGAUGGUAAGGUAAUGGCUUACCAAGGCAACGAUGCGUAGCCGAACUCAGCGGCGGAUCGGCCGCCUGGGAACGUAGACAGGGUCAAGAGUACUACGGGAGGGCGCAGUAUGGAACCUGACGCAAUAGUGGAAAGCAUGACGGAGCAAGGGAGAGUGAGUGAUGAAAGCCUCCGGAUCGUAAAAAUCUGUUAUUAGGGAAGAACCAAUGUGUACGUAAAUAUGCACGUAUUGACGGUACCUACUCAGAAAGCGACGGCUAACUACGUG